UUGUAGUAGCAGACAAUGCACACAGACUUGUCCCCUCACCUGCAUUCCGAGGAAUGCAACAACAUUAUAGCAUUGAUGAAGCAGUGCUACGAAGAGAACAAAUGGGCAAAGUUCAUUGGGGCCUGCAAUGACGUCGACGUUGCAAUGAGGAGGUGUUUAAAAAAAGAGCGACUAGAAAAGCGUGCGAAGAACUACGACAAAUCGUACGCGAAGCGAUUUCGCGAGAAACAGUCGUGAAGCUUGCCCUUGUUUAGUGUAUUGUAGCAGAAAAAUGGCAUAAAACAUCGUAUGCUUCCUU
Molecule: long non-coding RNA, 298 nt
Filed under: Dermacentor andersoni
Lineage: Eukaryota; Metazoa; Arthropoda; Arachnida; Ixodida; Ixodidae
Description: uncharacterized LOC126545814
Source: RNAcentral